AACGAACGCUGGCGGCAUGCCUAACACAUGCAAGUCGAACGAGACCUUCGGGUCUAGUGGCGCACGGGUGCGUAACGCGUGGGAACCUGCCCUUAGGUUAGGAAUAACUCCCCGAAAGGGGUGCUAAUACAGGAUAAUGUAAUAGGACAAAAGAUUUAUCGCCUUUGGAUGGGCCCGGGUUGGAUUAGCUGGUUGGUAGGGUAAAAGCCUACCAAGGCGACGAUCCAUAGCUGGUCUGAGAGGAUGAUCAGCUACACUGGGACUGAGACACGGCCCAGACUCGGACGGGGAGCAGCAGUGGGGUAUAUUGGACAAUGGGCGAUAGCCUGAUCCAGCAAUGCCGGGUGAGUGAUGAAGGCCUUAGGGUUGUAAAGCUCUUUUACCCGGGAUGAUAAUGACAGUACUGGGAGAAUAAGCUCCGGCUAACUCCGUG
RNAcentral lists this ribosomal RNA (433 nucleotides) under uncultured bacterium. Its description in RNAcentral is "partial 16S ribosomal RNA". It matches the Rfam family "Bacterial small subunit ribosomal RNA", at positions 29 to 507 of the family's 1533-position model. The record is from RNAcentral.